UACGUAGGGUGCAAGCGUUGUCCGGAAUUAUUGGGCGUAAAGAGCUCGUAGGCGGUCUGUCGCGUCGGCUGUGAAAACCCGGGGCUCAACCCCGGGCCUGCAGUGGGUACGGGCAGACUAGAGUGCGGUAGGGGUGACUGGAAUUCCUGGUGUAGCGGUGGAAUGCGCAGAUAUCAGGAGGAACACCGAUGGCGAAGGCAGGUCACUGGGCCGCAACUGACGCUGAGGAGCGAAAGCAUGGGGAGCGAACAGG
RNAcentral lists this ribosomal RNA (253 nucleotides) under uncultured bacterium. RNAcentral describes it as "partial 16S ribosomal RNA". It matches the Rfam family "Bacterial small subunit ribosomal RNA", at positions 524 to 776 of the family's 1533-position model. The record is from RNAcentral.